AGACCCGAAACCCGGUGAUCUAGCCAUGGGCAGGUUGAAGGUUGGGUAACACUAACUGGAGGACCGAACCGACUAAUGUUGAAAAAUUAGCGGAUGACCUGUGGCUGGGGGUGAAAGGCCAAUCAAACCGGGAGAUAGCUGGUUCUCCCCGAAAGCUAUUUAGGUAGCGCCUCGUGAAUUCAUCUCCGGGGGUAGAGCACUGUUUCGGCUAGGGGGCCAUCCCGGCUUACCAACCCGAUGCAAACUGCGAAUACCGGAGAAUGUUAUCACGGGAGACACACGGCGGGUGCUAACGUCCGUCGUGAAGAGGGAAACAACCCAGACCGCCAGCUAAGGUCCCAAAGUCAUGGUUAAGUGGGAAACGAUGUGGGAAGGCCCAGACAGCCAGGAUGUUGGCUUAGAAGCAGCCAUCAUUUAAAGAAAGCGUAAUAGCUCACUGGUCGAGUCGGCCUGCGCGGAAGAUGUAACGGGGCUAAACCAUGCACCGAAGCUGCGGCAGCGACGCUUAUGCGUUGUUGGGUAGGGGAGCGUUCUGUAAGCCUGCGAAGGUGG
This 552-nucleotide ribosomal RNA is filed under the name Salmonella enterica subsp. enterica serovar Heidelberg. RNAcentral describes it as "partial 23S ribosomal RNA". It matches the Rfam family "Bacterial large subunit ribosomal RNA", at positions 711 to 1259 of the family's 2925-position model. The record is from RNAcentral. Lineage: Bacteria; Pseudomonadati; Pseudomonadota; Gammaproteobacteria; Enterobacterales; Enterobacteriaceae. RNAcentral also lists the same sequence under 2 other names.